UUUUUUGAGAGAGAUAGGUAGCACGCUACCCGUUUCGUUUAUUUCAUUUAGAAAUAAAUUUAGCUGGAAAUAUGAAUCAACUAGGAUUCGAACUUAGGACCUCGAAUACCAACUACUAAGUUCUUUACCACUUGCUCUAGGGACAGCCAGUGAUCCCUAGCAUCUUCAGAUCACAGAAUCUAGCCCACAUGUUAUUAUUA
This 200-nucleotide long non-coding RNA is filed under the name Ananas comosus (pineapple). Its description in RNAcentral is "long non-coding RNA (ACOM_LNC010595)". Lineage: Eukaryota; Viridiplantae; Streptophyta; Magnoliopsida; Poales; Bromeliaceae. The record is from RNAcentral.